AAAUGAACGAAUCUCUUGAAAGAAUCAUAAUUUCCACCACACCAGCGUGUGAGCAGGACUUUUAUCUUGGCGUGGUGAUGUGACGUCAUGAGGAUGCUCCGCGCUCCUGCAUCUGCUGUGAUUCAACUCAAGAAAGGUUUUGUUUUAAAGCGUUUAACGUGUAGAAACUGUUAAACUUGAAAGUUUUACGAGCGAUACAGGGUUUUAUUAACUGCAACAUAUUAAUGUUUUAUUUGAAAGUGAUUUGUGUGAGUAAAGCGCAUCGAUCCACACGCGAGUAACGUAAACACAAAAGAACAGAAACAGUUCCACGUGACACGCUUAUAAAGAUGGCGUUUGUUAAAGAGCAGAGUGAAGACAUCAAGAUUGAAGAAGUCUUCAGUCUGAAACAAGAUCCUGAGGAAAAGCCAGGUCAGUUUUAUUCUCUAAAAUAAACUCAGUUAUUUGAUAUGUAUUCAAAUGUCCAGCUCAACAGAAAUGAAAUAUAUUUUUGAAGAAUAUCAAUAAAACUUCUUAAUUAAAGUGGUUUUAUUUGAACUGGAGUGGGAUGAAGCAUGUGGACAGACACUGAGAUCACAUGACCAGCUAAAUACUAUCACUGGCUUCAUGUGAACCUGUGAAGGUCCUUCCUUCAUGUUGGUCAU
Carassius auratus (goldfish) is the source of this 644-nucleotide long non-coding RNA. RefSeq lists it as uncharacterized. The record is from RefSeq and is a predicted model, not a curated record. The transcript has 2 exons. Lineage: Eukaryota; Metazoa; Chordata; Actinopteri; Cypriniformes; Cyprinidae.